Molecule: ribosomal RNA, 466 nt
Filed under: uncultured bacterium
Lineage: Bacteria
Description: partial 16S ribosomal RNA
Rfam family: Bacterial small subunit ribosomal RNA
Source: RNAcentral
GACGAACGCUGGCGGCGUGCUUAACACAUGCAAGUCGAACGGAAAGGCCUCUUUCGGGGGGUACUCGAGUGGCGAACGGGUGAGUAACACGUGAGUAACCUGCCCUUGACUUUGGGAUAACUUCAGGAAACUGGGGCUAAUACCGGAUAGGAGCUCCUGCUGCAUGGUGGGGGUUGGAAAGUUUCGGCGGUUGGGGAUGGACUCGCGGCUUAUCAGCUUGUUGGUGGGGUAGUGGCUUACCAAGGCUUUGACGGGUAGCCGGCCUGAGAGGGUGACCGGCCACAUUGGGACUGAGAUACGGCCCAGACUCCUACGGGAGGCAGCAGUGGGGAAUAUUGCACAAUGGUGGAAGCCUGAUGCAGCAACGCCGUGUGCAGGAUGACGGCCUUCGGGUUGUAAACCGCUUUCGCUCAUGACGAAGCUUUGUGUGACGGUAGUGGGUAAAGAAGCACCGGCUAACUACGUG